AACGAAAGAGCAACUGUCUCGUCAGAUAAAAAUAAAAAUUAACCUUUAGGUGAAGAGGCCUAAAUACAACAAAAAGACAAGAAGACCCCGCAGAGUUUAGGUUUUAUCUCUCAAUAUGCAUUUUGUAACAAACCCCCACAUUAUUAGUACUACAACCUUGGCUGGGGCGGCCGAGGAGAAAAAUCCUCCAUCUUCUUUAAAGGCUAUUAACCAAUCAAACUUUGACCCUCCCAUGAUCUUAAGACAAAACUACCUCGGGGAUAACAGAUUAAUCUUUCUUGAGAGUUCACAUUGACAGAAAAGUUUGACACCUCGAUGUUGGCUUAGGGCACCCAAAAAGUAUGCAGCAGCUUUUAUUUUGGUAGGUUUGUUCAACCUUUAAAGCCCU
This 388-nucleotide ribosomal RNA is filed under the name Polychaeta sp. 095-IOM-0283. RNAcentral describes it as "partial 16S ribosomal RNA". It matches the Rfam family "Bacterial large subunit ribosomal RNA", at positions 2003 to 2597 of the family's 2925-position model. The record is from RNAcentral. Lineage: Eukaryota; Metazoa; Annelida; Polychaeta.